GUGCUCCAUUCAGCAGUACAUAUACUAAAAUUGGAACGAUACCUAGAUUAGCAUGGCCUCUGUGCAAGGAUGACACGAAAAUUUGUGAAGCAUUCCAUAUUUAA
This is a small nuclear RNA of Mastomys coucha (southern multimammate mouse), 104 nucleotides long. Lineage: Eukaryota; Metazoa; Chordata; Mammalia; Rodentia; Muridae. The record is from RefSeq and is a predicted model, not a curated record.